RNAcentral lists this ribosomal RNA (305 nucleotides) under uncultured bacterium. RNAcentral's name for it is "bacterial SSU rRNA". It matches the Rfam family "Bacterial small subunit ribosomal RNA", at positions 335 to 639 of the family's 1533-position model. The record is from RNAcentral.
AUCCUACGGGGCGCAGCAGUGAGGAAUAUUGGUCAAUGGCCGAGAGGCUGAACCAGCCAAGUCGCGUGAGGGAUGACGGCCCUACGGGCUGUAAACCUCUUUUGUCGGGGAGCAAGGAGAGUCACGUGUGACUCAUUGAGAGUACCCGAAGAAAAAGCAUCGGCUAACUCCGUGCCAGCAGCCGCGGUAAUACGGAGGAUGCGAGCGUUAUCCGGAUUUAUUGGGUUUAAAGGGUGCGCAGGCGGAGGUGCAAGUCAGCGGGCAAAUUGCGGGGCUCAACCCCGUACUGCCGUUGAAACUGCAUC